Molecule: small RNA, 531 nt
Filed under: uncultured Fusobacterium sp.
Lineage: Bacteria; Fusobacteriati; Fusobacteriota; Fusobacteriia; Fusobacteriales; Fusobacteriaceae
Description: bacterial SSU rRNA
Rfam family: Bacterial small subunit ribosomal RNA (bases 1-341)
Source: RNAcentral
CAUGCCCCUUAUACGCUGGGCUACACACGUGCUACAAUGGGUAGAACAGAGAGUCGCAAAGCUGUGAAGUGGAGCUAAUCUCAGAAAACUAUUCUUAGUUCGGAUUGUACUCUGCAACUCGAGUACAUGAAGUUGGAAUCGCUAGUAAUCGCGAAUCAGCAAUGUCGCGGUGAAUACGUUCUCGGGUCUUGUACACACCGCCCGUCACACCACGAGAGUUGGUUGCACCUGAAGUAGCAGGCCUAACCGUAAGGAGGGAUGCUCCGAGGGUGUGAUUAGCGAUUGGGGUGAAGUCGUAACAAGGUAUCCGUACGGGAACGUGCGGAUGGAUCACCUCCUUUCUAAGGAGUAUAAGUCUUUCUCUAUUCUAUUGGUAAUGUUCUUACAUUACUUCUGAACAUUGGAAACUAUAUAGUAGAACAAACAAGAAAAAAAUUAACUCUAACAAUUUCUUAGAGUUAGCUGUCAAAAAAUAGGUUAAAAUAAUUAAGGGCACACAAAGGAUGCCUAGGUAGUAAGAGCCGAUGAAGG